AUUGAACGCUGGCGGCAUGCCUUACACAUGCAAGUCGAGCGCGAAAGGGGGCAACCCCGAGUAGAGCGGCGGACGGGUGAGUAACGCAUCGGAACGUGCCCAGUAGUGGGGGACAACCUCGAGAAAUCGAGGCUAAUACCGCAUACGACCCACGGGUGAAAGCGGGGGACCGCAAGGCCUCGCGCUAUUGGAGCGGCCGAUGUCCGAUUAGCUAGUUGGCGGGGUAANAGCCCACCAAGGCGACGAUCGGUAGCUGGUCUGAGAGGACGACCAGCCACACUGGGACUGAGACACGGCCCAGACUCCUACGGGAGGCAGCAGUGGGGAAUUUUGGACAAUGGGGGCAACCCUGAUCCAGCCAUGCCGCGUGCGGGAAGAAGGCCUUCGGUGUAA
Molecule: ribosomal RNA, 393 nt
Filed under: uncultured bacterium
Lineage: Bacteria
Description: bacterial SSU rRNA
Rfam family: Bacterial small subunit ribosomal RNA
Source: RNAcentral